GCUUGCCCAGCGUCUUGCUGAGCUCGGCGUUGUGCAAGUGCGGGUACUGGUCCGCGAGCUUCCUGCGCGCCGCCUGCGCCCACACCAUGAAGGCGUUCAUGGGCCGCUUGACGUGCGGCUUGUUCUUGCUGGAGCCGUUGACGCGCACCGGCAUGGGCACCAGCGUCCAGUCGUAGCCUUUGAGCACCUGGCUGACCGCCUCGCGGAUGCACACGGGGAACUUGUCCUCCUCGCUCUCUUUCUUCAGCCAAAAACAAUCCAUUGAUACACUUGGUGACAUUAAUUGAGAAAAAAACAAUAUGGUCUGGCCAUGGAGGCAUGAUAUCCGUAACAUCCCCCAAAGGAGCUAAAGAAGAAAUCCACAAUUUACCAUGAGCAUUUCUCGUCUAAUGAUUGCCAAGCGAUUCCUCCAGGACAUUCCUCAAGAUCAAUUUCUGUUCAUCCACCUUGUCCUGGGAGGGACAUCAAUGGGUUUCCAUGUCCUUUGGCUUCUGGUUGAGUUCACUCAGUGGAGAACCCUGGCAAGAGGCAGGAAAAGGGGAGGAAGGUGAAAACCAUCCAUUUCUUGGAGAAGUGCCACGGUGGGGUUGCAAGUCCCAGGAUCAAGAUUUCGAUGUGUCUCUUUUUCCCGUAAAGUGGCUGAAAUCUGAAGCUGAAUCUGCAAGUGUCAUGGAGUCAUUGAAUCUCACAGUCUCAACUGAUAAAAGUUAUUAAAGGUCGUCUGGUUCAGCCUUCUACUUGAUGUGGAAAUCCUUUCUACAGUAACUCUGUGUGG
This 775-nucleotide long non-coding RNA is filed under the name Pan troglodytes (chimpanzee). Its description in RNAcentral is "long non-coding RNA NONPTRT007325". Lineage: Eukaryota; Metazoa; Chordata; Mammalia; Primates; Hominidae. The record is from RNAcentral.